Molecule: ribosomal RNA, 253 nt
Filed under: uncultured bacterium
Lineage: Bacteria
Description: partial 16S ribosomal RNA
Rfam family: Bacterial small subunit ribosomal RNA
Source: RNAcentral
UACGUAGGGCGCAAGCGUUAUCCGGAAUUAUUGGGCGUAAAGAGCUCGUAGGCGGUUUGUCGCGUCUGCCGUGAAAAUCCGGGGCUCAACCCCGGACUUGCAGUGGGUACGGGCAGACUAGAGUGUGGUAGGGGAGACUGGAAUUCCUGGUGUAGCGGUGAAAUGCGCAGAUAUCAGGAGGAACACCGAUGGCGAAGGCAGGUCUCUGGGCCACUACUGACGCUGAGAAGCGAAAGCGUGGGGAGCGAACAGG